RNAcentral lists this ribosomal RNA (405 nucleotides) under uncultured bacterium. RNAcentral's name for it is "partial 16S ribosomal RNA". It matches the Rfam family "Bacterial small subunit ribosomal RNA", at positions 30 to 526 of the family's 1533-position model. The record is from RNAcentral.
AUUGAACGCUAGCGGGAUGCUUUACACAUGCAAGUCGAACGAGCGGCGGAAGGGUGCGUAAUAUAUGGGAACGUGCCCGGUAGAGGGGGAUCAAUACUAGGAACGGUGGCUAAUAGAGCCUAAUAUCAGAGCGGCCGAUAUCGGAUUAGCUAGUUGGUGGGGUAAAGGCGAACAAAGGCAAAGAUCCGUAGCUGGUUUGAGAGGAUGACCAUCCACACUUGGACGUAGACACGGCCCAGACUCGUACGGGAGGCAGCAGUGGGGAAUGUUGUACAAUGGGGGAAACCCUGAUCCAGCCAUCCCGCGUUUAUGAGAAGGCCCUCGUGUUGUAAAGUACUUUUGGCAGUGAAGCGUUAUCCGCAGAAUAAGCACCGGCUAACUACGUGCCAGCCGCCGCGGUAAUAC